UCAACUGUAUCAAAAAGCAUUGCUCCUUUAUUGCACGUUAAAGAGCCCAGAGCCACAUAAAGCAGCCUACGAUGCAAUCCAGCUACUUGGCUGAGAGGAGAUGGUCAGUGAAGACAAAAAGAACAUGAAAUAUUGCAAGCAUUAUGCAGCAUUAAUUGAGGAGAUGUACAAUAGUGUGAGUGAACACAGGAGAUGCAUCAGCCCAGAGCUGGGAUCAGGGAAGACUCCCAGAGGAAGCAGCCACGCUGAAAUCUGAAGUAUGAGUAUGAGUCAGCAGAGUGAAGGAGAUGAGUGGAGUCACCACGAGACAAGCAAAGGGGCCUGCAUUAACAGAGAAGAUCGUGGGGAAGCAAAUGCUGCGGCAUCUUUGGAAAACAGUUCAGAAAGCAGUUUCUCAUAAAGUUAAAUGUACGCUUGUCAUACAAUCUAGCAAUCCCACUCCAAGAUAACAACGUUGAAGGACUUGGGUUCCUCAAGCGUAGAGCAG
Long non-coding RNA from Diceros bicornis minor, 487 nucleotides. RefSeq lists it as uncharacterized. The record is from RefSeq and is a predicted model, not a curated record. The transcript is spliced from 3 exons. Lineage: Eukaryota; Metazoa; Chordata; Mammalia; Perissodactyla; Rhinocerotidae.